UCUUCAUUUUACGGACUCUCUCACCGGUCAGAGAAGCGAGAGAGCACGCAAAAUGAGGAGA
This is a non-coding RNA of Pristionchus pacificus, 61 nucleotides long. The record is from Rfam. NCBI's taxonomy places the organism in Eukaryota, Metazoa, Nematoda, Chromadorea, Rhabditida, Neodiplogasteridae.